UACAGAGGGUGCAAGCGUUAAUCGGAAUUACUGGGCGUAAAGCGCACGUAGGCGGUUUUUUAAGUCAGAUGUGAAAGCCCCGGGCUCAACCUGGGAAUUGCAUUUGAAACUGGGAAACUAGAGUGUGUGAGAGGGGGGUAGAAUUCCAAGUGUAGCGGUGAAAUGCGUAGAGAUUUGGAGGAAUACCAGUGGCGAAGGCGGCCCCCUGGCACAACAUUGACGCUCAGGUGCGAAAGCGUGGGGAGCAAACAGG
This 253-nucleotide ribosomal RNA is filed under the name uncultured bacterium. RNAcentral describes it as "partial 16S ribosomal RNA". It matches the Rfam family "Bacterial small subunit ribosomal RNA", at positions 524 to 776 of the family's 1533-position model. The record is from RNAcentral.